RNAcentral lists this unclassified non-coding RNA (329 nucleotides) under soil metagenome. Its description in RNAcentral is "partial contains 5.8S ribosomal RNA, internal transcribed spacer 2, and large subunit ribosomal RNA". The stretch from base 1 to 120 matches the Rfam family "5.8S ribosomal RNA", at positions 35 to 154 of the family's 154-position model. The record is from RNAcentral.
GAUGAAGAACGUAGCGAAAUGCGAUAAGUAAUGUGAAUUGCAGAAUUCAGUGAAUCAUCGAAUCUUUGAACGCACAUUGCGCCCCUUGGUAUUCCGAGGGGCAUGCCUGUUCGAGCGUCAUUAUAACCCCUCAAGCUCAGCUUGGUGUUGGGGCCUGCUGCACUGGCAGCCCUUAAAAUCAGUGGCGGCGCCAUCUGGCUCUAAGCGUAGUAAUUCUUCUCGCUAUGGAGUCCUGGUGGAUGCUCGCCAUCAACCCCCAAUUUUUCUAUGGUUGACCUCGGAUCAGGUAGGGAUACCCGCUGAACUUAAGCAUAUCAAUAAGCGGAGGA